UUUAAUAAAUUGUUAUAUAUAUAUAUAUAUAUAUAUA
Molecule: ribosomal RNA, 37 nt
Filed under: Glacies coracina
Lineage: Eukaryota; Metazoa; Arthropoda; Insecta; Lepidoptera; Geometridae
Description: partial 16S ribosomal RNA
Source: RNAcentral